Molecule: long non-coding RNA, 850 nt
Filed under: Capra hircus (goat)
Lineage: Eukaryota; Metazoa; Chordata; Mammalia; Artiodactyla; Bovidae
Description: lncRNA (ENSCHIG00000002820.1)
Source: RNAcentral
CAGAGAUAUUACUUUGCCAACCAGGGUCCAUAUAGUCAAAGCAAUGGUUUCCAGUAGUUAUGUACAAAUGAGACUGUUGGACCACAAAGAAGGCUGAGCACCAAAGAAUUGAUGCUUUUGAAUUGUGGUGCUGGAGAAGACUCUUGAGAGUCCCUUGGACUGCAGGGAGAGCAAACCAGUCAAUCCUAAAUGAAAUGAACCCUGAAUACUCACUGGAAAGGCUGAUACUGAAGCUGAAGCUCCAAUACUUUGGCCACUUGAUGGAAAAGUCCCUAAUGCUGGAAAAGAUUGAGGGCAGGAGGAGAGGAUGAGAUGAUUGGAUGGCAUCAUCGACUCAUUGGAUGUGAGUUUGAGCAAACUCUGGGAGAUAGUGAAGGACAGGGAACCCUGGCGUGCUGCAGGUCAUGGCAUCACAAAGAGUCAGACAUGACUGAGUGACUGAACAACAGCAACAAUAGUACAACCAAUGGCAAAAACAGCCAAAGGUCAAGAAAGCACCACAUAUUUCAACUGCAAAAACUUAGAUUAACAGGCUCAGCAUCUCCAUGUGGCCUACUUUCCAUUGGCUGUGUCUUUGGGUUCUCUCUGUGACAGCACACUGGACAAGGUUCUUCCAGGAUUCUGCGGUCAGGAACAUGGCAGAUGACAAAUUGACACGACAAACUGAAAAGCAGAAGUUAGUGUUCAAAGAAGUUCAAGAGUAAACAUUUAGUCAAUUCGUCUGCUUAGACUGAGAAAGCCUCCGUGCCCAGGAUUCUGAAGGUAGGUUCUAGAUUAGUGGAGAAGAUUCUCUGUACUCUUUUCCCAGCUUCAGGUCACAUGCAGAAUGAGUCUACUCAUAGCGUCCUCA